AACCUAGCACACCUGCGGUGUGUACCUGCGGAGGGAUCAUUACCUAGAGUUGUAGGCUUUGCCUGCUAUCUCUUACCCAUGUCUUUUGAGUACCUUACGUUUCCUCGGUGGGCUCGCCCACCGAUUGGACAAAUUUAAACCCUUUGCAGUUGAAAUCAGCGUCUGAAAAAACUUAUUAGUUACAACUUUCAACAAUGGAUCU
RNAcentral lists this unclassified non-coding RNA (202 nucleotides) under soil metagenome. RNAcentral's name for it is "partial contains 5.8S ribosomal RNA, internal transcribed spacer 2, and large subunit ribosomal RNA". The record is from RNAcentral.